Molecule: small RNA, 27 nt
Filed under: Bombyx mori (domestic silkworm)
Lineage: Eukaryota; Metazoa; Arthropoda; Insecta; Lepidoptera; Bombycidae
Description: ovarian small RNA-16566
Source: RNAcentral
GCAUGUGUUUCGAAAAUUCGUGAUAGC